RNAcentral lists this ribosomal RNA (426 nucleotides) under uncultured bacterium. RNAcentral describes it as "bacterial SSU rRNA". It matches the Rfam family "Bacterial small subunit ribosomal RNA", at positions 28 to 455 of the family's 1533-position model. The record is from RNAcentral.
GACGAACGCUGGCGGCGUGCCUAACACAUGCAAGUCGAACGGAGAUAUGAUUUCGGUUGUAUCUUAGUGGCGAACGGUGAGUAACGCGUGAACAACCUGACUCUAAGAGGGGGAUAACACUCGGAAACGGGUGCUAAUACCGCAUAAGACCACGACCUGGCAUCAGGAUGAGGUCAAAGGAGCAAUCCGCUGAGAGAGGGGUUCGCGUCCAUUAGAUAGAUGGCGGGGUAACGGCCCACCAUGUCAACGAUGGGUAGCCGAGCUGAGAGGCUGAUCGGCCACACUGGAACUGAGACACGGUCCAGACUCCUACGGGAGGCAGCAGUGGGGAAUAUUGGGCAAUGGGCGCAAGCCUGACCCAGCAACGCCGCGUGAGGGAAGAAGGCUUUCGGGUUGUAAACCUCUGUCCUUGGUGACGAAACAAAU